UCUCAGGGAUGGCACUCUGUCUACUUGUGUUUUGGACCAUGAGACAGUGCGUCCUCCCUCAGAU
Molecule: non-coding RNA, 64 nt
Organism: Biomphalaria glabrata
Lineage: Eukaryota; Metazoa; Mollusca; Gastropoda; Planorbidae
Source: Rfam